AAAACCAUAAAAACACAGAAAAGUAUUGCGUCAGAAGUCAAGCAAGGUCAGGCUGAUAUUAACAGUGUGCGCUGCUUCAAUUGCUUUCAAUACGGUCAUUACCAAGAUGCAUGUACAGCUCCGAGACGACAACCAAAUUCGUGUUUCGUAUGUGCUGAGGUUGGGCAUACUCGCCAUAAUUGCCCUCGUCGUGGUGGAUCAAAUAAUUCAAAGGUGGCAGCUGCAGUUGGAGAUGAUGAGGAACCCGAACGAUGCCAGUUAGCUGAACGUUUAGCUCCUAAUAAUUUGCUUUGUUUGACACGGGCAGUCCUAUCAGUUUCAUUAGAAGAUCAUGUGUGCCCGCAACGGUUGAAGUAAAUGUUGAUUGGAAACUAUCGUGCUACCGUGGAAUGGAUUCUGAGGCUGUGGUGCCGUUGUUGGUGGGGCGUGAUCUUUUGGGAAGGAUGGGAGUUGGUUUGUGUCAGAUAGAGACAAUUAGAUAUACGAAAUAUGAUCUGUUGAAAAUGAAUGAUCAAAAUAAAAUUUCUAUAGCGGACAAUGUCAUAAGUGCCCUUCGACUUUUUGAU
Rhagoletis pomonella (apple maggot) is the source of this 566-nucleotide long non-coding RNA. RefSeq lists it as uncharacterized. Lineage: Eukaryota; Metazoa; Arthropoda; Insecta; Diptera; Tephritidae. The transcript has 3 exons. The record is from RefSeq and is a predicted model, not a curated record.